UGGGGAAUUUUGGACAAUGGGGGCAACCCUGAUCCAGCAAUGCCGCGUGUGUGAAGAAGGCCUUCGGGCUGUAAAGCACUUUUGUCCGGAAAGAAAUCGCGCUGGUUAAUACCUGGCGUGGAUAACGGUACCGGAAGAAUAAGCAACGGCUACAUACGUGCCAGCAGCCGCGGUAAUACGUAGGGUGCGAGCGUUAAUCGGAAUUACUGGGCGUAAAGCGUGCGCAGGCGGUUUUGUAAGACAGGCGUGAAAUCCCCGGGCUUAACCUGGGAAUUGCGCUUGUGACUGCAAGGCUAGAGUGCGUCAGAGGGGGGUAGAAUUCCACGUGUAGCAGUGAAAUGCGUAGAGAUGUGGAGGAAUACCGAUGGCGAAGGCAGCCCCCUGGGACGUGACUGACGCUCAUGCACGAAAGCGUGGGGAGCAAACAGG
This 429-nucleotide ribosomal RNA is filed under the name uncultured bacterium. RNAcentral describes it as "bacterial SSU rRNA". It matches the Rfam family "Bacterial small subunit ribosomal RNA", at positions 355 to 776 of the family's 1533-position model. The record is from RNAcentral.